Molecule: non-coding RNA, 56 nt
Organism: Triticum aestivum (bread wheat)
Lineage: Eukaryota; Viridiplantae; Streptophyta; Magnoliopsida; Poales; Poaceae
Source: Rfam
GCUUAGUUGGUAAAGCACAAGGCCCUUAACCUUGUGGACGUGGAUUCAAGUCCCAU